Molecule: long non-coding RNA, 1158 nt
Organism: Sebastes umbrosus (honeycomb rockfish)
Lineage: Eukaryota; Metazoa; Chordata; Actinopteri; Perciformes; Sebastidae
Exons: 4
Source: RefSeq, a predicted model, not a curated record
GGUUAUGUAUGUGUGGACUUCCUGUGUCCUUUUAAAUAGGAAUAUUCCAUUUUGUCCUACUGUUAUUGACAAAGGUACGACAUCUGGUAAGCUGCGUCAAAAUGAGGUAGUUUACGGUAAAAACGUCGCCCAUUAUUACUGCCCAUGUGAUUUCACCGAUGUUUGUAAACAUGCGUCAGCCACAUGUGAUUCUGGCUGAUGAGGAAACACCGUCCGGCCAACCAGCGGCCAGGGGAGUGUCGGGGGCGGGUCUGCCGUGUUGCGCUAGAUGGAAAACCAUCGUUAGAGAGGGAUACACAGAGAUAAACGUGCUCCACAGAUUCAUAAUAGCGAGAAAUAACGAGAACCCGGUGUACUGACUGAGGAAGAGGAGGAGGAGGACCGAGGUCUGAGCGGUGCCAGCCGGGAAAUGGAUGAGGAAAAACAUGCUUGGGGAUAAAAACACACCCUGUAACGCACACCUGUCAACGCACAAUAGGACGCUGACACGCCUGAUGGGAUGUCGCUGUUGACAGCGAGGUCGCCGGCCUCUCUCGAACCUUCCCUAAUGACUCUAGUAGUGAAGGAAGGCCUCCUGCUGCUCACCUGCCAGAGGCGCCCGGGAGAUAAAGUGCUUCCUCGCCUCUCUCCGAGCUUCUGGGGUGAAAAUGAGACACGCAGGAGGAACAGACUCCUUCCUUGCCAAGUGGAUUUGUUCGCUCAAUGGGUGACUCAGCAGUGGACCUCAUGAGUUGCUAAACCACUGGCAAGCUGGAGCAAAUGCAAUUCAGCAGAUGCUGUCGGGGCCAAAAGUAGACGCAGCAAACAAGCACUCUCAAAAGGAGGAGAGGCAGUCUGGAUCUACUGAUGGAUGUGUUUACAGCAGAGGGGCGGGGGGCAGCAGCACCUGUAGCCCACGGAAAACUUCAGAGGAAACGGCUGGAGAGGGUGAUAAAGAGUGCAAAUCAACACAUCCAUCUGUGGCCUUCCCAUCUAUUUCCAACCAUCGUGUAGCAGAACAAACAAAAGUGUCAGGCUCAUCUGAACGUGUUAAGGCCCUCACGUCUCCCGAACAUUUCGCAAUUUGUUUGCUCUGAAGAGAAGAUGAUGCAACGUAGAGGGAGAUAUCCAAGCUAUUACAAUGUCCUCGCAGGCAAAAUUAAAAGGAAAUGAAGUCUG